AUUCUUGCUUUUUUUUUGGUUUUCGUUUUUUUAAAAAAGAGGGAAAAAACCAUCCGGUUUCUGAUCUGCCAGUGUGUUGGUCUAAGUCCCCGAUGCAGAUCAGUACCUGGGCCCCUCUAUUCCUUCCUUCUCCAUUGGAGCACUAUGAUAAUGGAAUGUGAAGGGAGAAAGAGAAAAGAAAUGCAGCUGCUAUUCCCGCCGCUGCUUUAGCUACAAAUAAAAUGACAGAGUGAAGUGAGCUCGUCCGGAGACACCUUCAUCAAUUAAUUCCCCUAAAGCCAGCGCUGAUUGGACACUCCUGACAGAGACAUCCGUGUGGUUAAAAGAAUAAACGGAUAUUUCUGACCCUGCAAGAAAAAAAUUGUACAGUAAUUUCUUCCUUCACAUUCAAAAGUUCCAGCUUCCCCUGCUCUGGCUAGCAUAAGCAGGAAUUUUGAAGAGAAUUGGGAAUUUCAAGAAGUGCAUCCGGAAAUUAAGGAAGUCUAUUUAAGAGCGUCUGUAACUCAGAGGUUGGGAUUUGAAAAGUCAGCCCUGGACUACUGUUGCACUCCGCACAGAUGUAAUCGCCGCUCUUCAACUUAAUCAAUUGAUUGCUGGCACAUUUUGUUCAAAGUGAAUUCAGACAGAAGAGACGAAGGAGCAUCACAAAGGCCUCAACAAUGAUAAAAUGUGUAGAAACUGAAGUGAUGACACCAAGUGCUGAGGCCUACCUACAGGCUGCUGGAGCCACAGUGAAAUUCUGAGCACCCAUGAGGGGAGAAGGGAGAGAUAAGACAUGUGGGGCCUGCUGGUCUCUGGAAGGGGAAUCCUCUGGUUCUGUUCCCUGGCUUUAGCCCAAAUCCUUCUAGGAGCACUGGAGCCAAUCACCGCCUUCCACGGCUGCAGCUACUGGGCGCACACAAAAAAGCGGGAGAUCAAAAAACCCCAAGUUCACAUUUAUGGAUACACAAGGAUCAUUUCAUAUUCAUGACUUCAACAAAUCACAUCAUAAUCAGAUUUUAACAAGGUUUGGGCAGUGAUGCCCACCAGCCUGGGCACUAAACAUUGACACAUAUCACAGGCUAACCAGAAGGGUCACUUUUUUUAUUAUGGAAUCAUAGAGUGAAAAUUGUCUUUCAACUUUGAAAAGCUCAUUUUUCCCUUCUGAGGCCAAUUUUUACACAAGUACAUUUCAAGUAAGCACCUCUCUUUAAGUCAUUCCCGCAACGUUAUAAUUCAAAUUUCUCUUUGCUUCCUUUCUCAGUGCCAGUAGUGUUUUGAAAAACACAUGGCACAGCAAACAUCAUGGAAAACCCACUUGUUCCAUUAAAUGUCCAUACAACUGCCUUUUUACUCCUCUAA
Phacochoerus africanus (Common warthog) is the source of this 1341-nucleotide long non-coding RNA. RefSeq lists it as uncharacterized. The record is from RefSeq and is a predicted model, not a curated record. NCBI's taxonomy places the organism in Eukaryota, Metazoa, Chordata, Mammalia, Artiodactyla, Suidae. The transcript is spliced from 5 exons.